GUCUACAGCCAUGCCACCCCGAACAAGCCCAAUGUCUGAUUUCAGAAGCUAAGAGGGUCGGGCCUGGUUAGCACUUGAAUGGGAGACCACCAAGGAAGACCAGGUGCUGUAGGCA
Molecule: ribosomal RNA, 115 nt
Filed under: Pteropus alecto (black flying fox)
Lineage: Eukaryota; Metazoa; Chordata; Mammalia; Chiroptera; Pteropodidae
Source: RNAcentral